UUAAGUUCAGGGGGUAUCCUUACCUGAUCUGAGGUCAAGUCUAGAAAAUAAAUCGGUUCAGUUGGCGGACCCCACCCCAGUUGCUUCAACGAGAAAUUGCUUACUACGUCUUACAAGCUGAAAUAGUGUCGCCAAUAGCUUUAAGAAGAGUGGCAUAACCACUUCCCCCAAUACCAAACUAAAGUUUGAUUGAUUUAUUG
RNAcentral lists this unclassified non-coding RNA (200 nucleotides) under uncultured Ascobolus. RNAcentral's name for it is "sequence contains ITS2". Lineage: Eukaryota; Fungi; Ascomycota; Pezizomycetes; Pezizales; Ascobolaceae. The record is from RNAcentral.